GGAAAGCGAGUCCUCCGCCGUGGCCGAAGGCGGCCGCCAUGGCGCCGGCAGUGCCAGCGGGCGUCUUGCGACCCGGCUCGGGCUUCGCCACCAUUCACUGUGCUUCUCAAGCCACUUCGGCACUCUAAUUUCGCCCUGCUCUCUCUAGACGAUUUUUAAUACCUGGGAAAGUUACUCCCCAGUCUAACCUAAAAAGGUAGAAUUGAUGGGGUGGGGAAUUAACAGGAAGGCAUGAUCCUCGAGGAUAACGCUGACCAGGCGCUUCUUCCAACAAGCCUGUUUCCCUCUCUGUCGCCACCGUAGGAGUUCCUACAGCUCUCCCGCACAUUCUGUACGGAUUGUUUUUUAGUCAAGACGUUCUGUGCGAGAGGAGAAGUUACUUUAUGAACACCCUAACAGGGGAUCUUACGACCUCUUCCCCGCUCUCCACUCAGUCCUUUUAAAAACGCGAGGCAGGAUGAAGAACGCUAUUGAAGUACAUUCUAAAAUGAUCCCACCUGCAAUUUGGAUUUUUGGAGAAUCGGGAUCGGUGUAAAAUUCUACAUGCAUACACGUAUUUGCACAAGAAUAUUUAUAGCAACGUGGUUUUUAAUAGGAAACUAUCUAAAUGUUCAUUACAAGUGAAUUACAUAAAGCUCAAUACAUCCAUACUACGAAUCACUGAAGAGCUGCUAAAAUAGAUGAAAUAUAUUUAUAAUGGCAUGAACAACCGACACAAGACAGUUGCAGAGUAAUGUGUAUUUGUGAUUACAUUUAUGUUUUUAAGUUAUACAAACGCGUAUGUGCCUACGUGUAUGUAAAUUCAUAGGAAGACAAAUCAGAGGACGGUGGUUACCUGGGGAAAAGCAUGUGUUGUCCUAGGGUAUAGCUUUGCAGGAGAGCUUGGCAGAGCCUGCCAAACCUGAUCAGCUUUUCCACCUCUCAGCUACUGCUUUCGGCUCCCCAGCCUCAUAAACUCUCAGCUGCCACAUUACAAAUCAGCAGAUGUCUUGAGGUGAAAUGUGGUGCCAAAUGUCAAGCUCAACUUUUUGGAUCAUCUCUCCUGAAUUUCAGUUCCUCGAAUCCUCACUGUCCUGGGUCUCCAAUGCCUUCAAAAAGGAUUUU
This 1104-nucleotide long non-coding RNA is filed under the name Homo sapiens (human). RNAcentral describes it as "non-protein coding lnc-ALDH1L2-1:4". Lineage: Eukaryota; Metazoa; Chordata; Mammalia; Primates; Hominidae. The record is from RNAcentral.